RNAcentral lists this long non-coding RNA (1491 nucleotides) under Coturnix japonica (Japanese quail). Its description in RNAcentral is "lncRNA (ENSCJPG00005001640.1)". Lineage: Eukaryota; Metazoa; Chordata; Aves; Galliformes; Phasianidae. The record is from RNAcentral.
CUGUAUGGUGGUGGGGUCUCCAUAUGUCUUUGGGGGCGUUCCCAUGUGUUCCCAUUGACUCCCAGUGUCUUUGGGGUUGGGGGGGGGUCCAUUGUCUUUGGGGGGGGGGUUCCAUUCGGUUCCAUGACCCCAUUGUCUUUUGGAGGGGGGUCCAUUGUCUUUAUGGGGGGGGUUCUCCUUUAUUUUUAUUUGGGGGGGGGUCUCCAUUCUUUCUUUAUGGGGGGGGGGUCCCCCUUAUGUUCUUUAUGGGGGGGUCUCCAUUCUCUUUUAAUGGGGGGUCCCCUUAUUCAUUUAUGGGGGGGUCCCCCAUUAUUCUUAUUGGGGGGGUCUCCAUUCUUCUUUAUGGGGGGGGGUCUCCAUUCUUCUUUAUGGGGGGGGGUCUCCAUUCUUCUUUAUGGGGGGGGUCCCCCUAUUCUUCUUUAUGGGGGGGGGUCUCCAUUAUUCUUUAUGGUUGGGGUCCCCUAUUCUUCGUGUAUAUGGGGGGGUCUGCCAUGUCUUCUUUAUUGGGCGGCUCCCCAUUUUCUUAUUGGGGGGGUUCUCCUUUAUUCUUUCAUGGGGGGUCGUCCAUUAUUCUGUUAUGGGGGGGGUCUCCAUUCUUCGUUAUUGGGGCGGGGGUUCUCCAUUCUUCUUUACUCGGGGGGCUCCAUUAUUUUCUUUGAUGGGGGGGGGUCCCCAGUUUCUCUUUAUUGGGGGGCUUCCUUUAUUCUUUAUGGGGGGGGUCUCCAUUAUCCUUUAUGGGGGGUGUCCCCAUAUUCUUCUUAUUGGGGGGGGGUCCCCCUUUAUUCUUUAUGGGGGGGGUCUCCAUUGUUCUUUAUGGGGGGUCUCCAUUAUUCUUUUAUGGGGGGGGGUCUCCAUUAUUCUUUAUGGGGGGGUCUCACAUUCUUAUCUUUAUGGGGGGCGGUCCCCAUUAUCUUCUAUGGGGGGGGUCCCCUUUUCUUUAUGGGGGGGUCUCCAUUAUUCGUUUAGUAUGGGGGGGUCCCCAUUCUUCUUUAUGGGGGGGGUCCCCAUUCUUCUUUAUGGGGGGUCCCCCUUAUGCUUUAUGGGGGGGGUCCCCCUUUAUUCUUCUUAUUGGGGGAUCUACCAUUAAUUCUUAUGAGGGGCGGGUCUCCAUUGUUCUUUGAUGGGGGGGGUCUCCCAUAUAUUCCUUAUGGGGGGGGGUCUCCAUUAUUCCUUAUGGGGGGGGUCUCCAUUAUUCCUUUAUGGGGGGGGGUCUCCAUUGUUUUUUAAUGGCGGGGGGGUCUCAGACGUAGGCGUUGCGUCCGUACUUGUCCCCAGGCUGUGGAUGAAUGAGGAUCCUAUGGGGCGGGGGGGGGGCUUCCAAAUGGGGGGGGGCUAAUUAAGUAGGGGGGGGGGUAAGGAAUGGGGGGGGGGUUAAUUAAUAGAGGGGGGGUAAUUAAUAGAGGGGGGGGUAAUUAAAUUAGGGUGGGGGGGUUUAGAAAGGGGGGGAGAGUUUUUAGAGUGGGGGGGACCCCCAAACCUCCGACCCCCCCC